UACAGAGGUCCCAAGCGUUGUUCGGAUUCACUGGGCGUAAAGGGUGCGUAGGUGGCAUGGCAAGUUUGAUGUGAAAGCUCAGGGCUUAACCCUGAAAUGGCAUUGAAUACUGCUGUGCUGGAGGUUUGGAGGGGGGACUGGAAUUCUUGGUGUAGCAGUGAAAUGCGUAGAUAUCAAGAGGAACACCAGUGGCGAAGGCGAGUCCCUGGACAACACCUGACACUGAGGCACGAAAGCCGGGGGAGCAAACAGG
RNAcentral lists this ribosomal RNA (253 nucleotides) under uncultured bacterium. RNAcentral describes it as "partial 16S ribosomal RNA". It matches the Rfam family "Bacterial small subunit ribosomal RNA", at positions 524 to 776 of the family's 1533-position model. The record is from RNAcentral.